AACCCUCCAGCCAUUCUUUGAAGGAUUAUUACCCCGAGACAAUCCAAGAAAUACUCGAUUUGCCAUCAACUUUUUUACCUCUAUAGGUCUUGGAGGUUUAACGGAUGAAUUGCGUGAGCAUCUGAAAAAUACACCAAAGGUCAUCGCAGCACAGAAGCCAGAUGCCGAGCCAAAGAAAUCCUCCCUGGCCUCCUCGUCUUCAGCCUCAUCCUCUUCUGAGUCUGGUUCCUCUGACUCGGGUUCUGACAGCAGUGAGAGCAGCUCAGGGUCUUCCAGUGAAGACAGCGACUCCUCCUCCAGUAGUCAGAGCUCUGCCU
Long non-coding RNA from Nannospalax galili (Upper Galilee mountains blind mole rat), 317 nucleotides. RefSeq lists it as uncharacterized. The record is from RefSeq and is a predicted model, not a curated record. Lineage: Eukaryota; Metazoa; Chordata; Mammalia; Rodentia; Spalacidae. The transcript is spliced from 2 exons.